Molecule: transfer RNA, 54 nt
Filed under: Unionicola parkeri
Lineage: Eukaryota; Metazoa; Arthropoda; Arachnida; Trombidiformes; Unionicolidae
Description: tRNA-Trp
Source: RNAcentral
AAAGCAAUAGGUUAUACAAACCAUUAUCCUUCAAAGAUAAAGAAGCAAGCUUUA